This 443-nucleotide ribosomal RNA is filed under the name uncultured bacterium. RNAcentral's name for it is "SSU rRNA". It matches the Rfam family "Bacterial small subunit ribosomal RNA", at positions 26 to 518 of the family's 1533-position model. The record is from RNAcentral.
AGAACGAACGCUGGCGGCAGGCUUAACACAUGCAAGUCGAGCGCCCCGCAAGGGGAGCGGCAGACGGGUGAGUAACGCGUGGGAACAUACCCUCCGGUUCGGAAUAGCUCAGGGAAACUUGGAUUAAUACCGGAUACGGCCUAGCGGCGAAAGAUUCAUCGCCGGAGGAUUGGCCCGCGUCUGAUUAGCUAGUUGGUGGGGUAAUGGCCCACCAAGGCGACGAUCAGUGGCUGGUCUGAGAGGAUGAUCAGCCACAUUGGGACUGAGACACGGCCCAAACUCCUACGGGAGGCAGCAGUGGGGAAUAUGGACAAUGGGCGCAAGCCUGAUCCAGCCAUGCCGCGUGAGUGAUGACGGCCUUAGGGUUGUAAAGCUCUUUCGCUAGGGACGAUAAUGACGGUACCUAGACAAGAAGCCCCGGCUAACUUCGUGCCAGCAGCCGC